AUGAACGCUAGCGGCAGGCUUAAUACAUGCAAGUCGAACGGUAAGUUUGGUAGCAAUAUCAAACCAAGAGUGACGUACGGGUGCGUAACACGUAUGCAACCUACCUUGUACAGGAGUAUAGCUCGGGGAAACUCGAAUUAACCCUCCAUGAGAUCAUAGAAUGGCAUCAUUUAGUGAUUAAAACUCAGGUGGUACAAGAUGGGCAUGCGUCUGAUUAGUUAGNGGCGGGGGUAAUGGCCCACCAAGACGAUGAUCAGUAGGGGACCUGAGAGGGUGAUCCCCCACACUGG
RNAcentral lists this ribosomal RNA (290 nucleotides) under uncultured bacterium. RNAcentral describes it as "partial 16S ribosomal RNA". It matches the Rfam family "Bacterial small subunit ribosomal RNA", at positions 29 to 316 of the family's 1533-position model. The record is from RNAcentral.